UACGUAGGGGGCUAGCGUUGUCCGGAUUUAUUGGGCGUAAAGAGCGUGUAGGCGGCCUGACAGGUCUGCUGUGAAAACUCGAGGCUCAACCUCGAGAUGUCGGCGGAAACCGUCUGGCUAGAGUCCGGAAGAGGAGAGUGGAAUUCCUGGUGUAGCGGUGAAAUGCGCAGAUAUCAGGAAGAACACCUAUGGCGAAGGCAGCUCUCUGGGACGGUACUGACGCUGAGACGCGAAAGCGUGGGGAGCGAACGGG
Molecule: ribosomal RNA, 253 nt
Filed under: uncultured bacterium
Lineage: Bacteria
Description: partial 16S ribosomal RNA
Rfam family: Bacterial small subunit ribosomal RNA
Source: RNAcentral